UGGGAAAAGGUUUAGAGGAUUCGCAUUAGGCCCAGCAGAGACACCACCAGAUGGCUGCACUGCCGGUAGAGGUGCAGCCUGAGCCUGAGAUGGAGCCUGCAGGUUUUGUGCCUGUUGAGCAGGAGCAGGUGCUCGAGCCACAGGUGGGGCCUCUACGGAUUCAGGUAUUCCCUAACAGUCAAACCAAAAUGAAACAGUAAGAAUAACAUGUAUUUAGAAUGGAACACAAAUUCAGUUCCCUCUGGAUUUUGUGCAAAAACAACUGAGCACAUGAAAGGCAGGACAUGGAAAUAAGGACUUCAAAAGAAGAAUAAAACAAAAUUCAACAAGCAUUGAACUUACAGAGUACAGGUAGUCAAUAGCCCUCUCAGGGUUGUUAUACGCAGCACGUAAAGCACGGACAACCAUAUCACGUUCCCAGGUGCCACCACCCAUGUCAAGAAUUUGUUGGACUGUCUGUUCUAGAAUGCCGCCAGAGACAAGGUUUGAUGCAGCCUGAC
This 500-nucleotide long non-coding RNA is filed under the name Hordeum vulgare. RNAcentral describes it as "long non-coding RNA (HVUL_LNC018151)". The record is from RNAcentral. Lineage: Eukaryota; Viridiplantae; Streptophyta; Magnoliopsida; Poales; Poaceae.